GGAAGGAAGGAGCGAAGCUCACCGACCUGCUUAUUCAUACACUAUAAGCCAUAGCUGUUUCCUUUGAGUGACUGUUGACAAGGAACAAUAUCAACAUAUGCCGCUCACUUUUGGCUACUCUAUGCAGAAGACACUCCGCUUCACUCAAGGCAGCACCGAUCUGUGUGGUUGGACGACAAACGGUCGAGCUGCAGUAUGCACUGUGGUCUCCUGGCGCUCACUAGUAGUAGGCCAGGCACGAUUUGCUGAAAAAUCCGCUGCUGCCCGUUAAGCAUUGUCAACGAGUUGCCCUCCUUAGCAAUGCGCAGUUGCUCGCAGCCUUUCUAGCCUUUGGGUCUGUCACCUAUACGAUGAAAAUUUGUGGAAGGCCGAAGAGCCUGGCAGACGCUCUAAUCUGAUAAGUCCAAGAAUGAGAGCAAAAAAUGAGAAUUUAUUCGGGAAAUGUGGGGUAGUAUCUAAUUAUGUUUUUCUACUUGUCCUCGAUCCUUGAUCAGCUUCCCAAAUGGGGCCCAUGUCCGAGCAUCCAGAGUCGUCGGUCUUAGCUGGCCUGCCAUUUUACCGAGCAUUGGUAACCCCUAGUCAUUACCCUUGACGCUUAC
This 599-nucleotide small RNA is filed under the name Cryptococcus neoformans H99. RNAcentral describes it as "Cryptococcus neoformans var. grubii H99 hypothetical RNA". The record is from RNAcentral. Lineage: Eukaryota; Fungi; Basidiomycota; Tremellomycetes; Tremellales; Cryptococcaceae.